AUUUCUAAUCGAAGUUUGAAUAUGAAUUUCCCUGAAGGCUUCAAGAAGAUUCUAGUGAGGUGAAAAGUCAGGUUCAGAAAUUUGAAACUCAGAUAUUUUUUACAACUAGAAUAAUAGUUGGUAUUGACUUUUAGGCCAAAAACUGAAAGGUCAAAGUUGUUCUAAAUGAACAGCUGAAAUGCAGAGUUUAAUGUUAUGCAAUAUAUCAAUUGUCUCGUCCUUUAAAGGUCUGGGAAAGCAUACCUUUUAGAGAUCACUUUUAAGCUUAGAUUUAAGAGUUUGAGUCGAGUACGGGUUUCUAUUAUUUUUUUAUCGCUUGUACACCUCAAGUGCUAUCGAUUGUUUAGUGAUUAUACUUAUUGUUUAGCUAUUUUGAUUUUGGUGCCAUUUUUGUUAUCAUCCCAAUAUUUUUUAUGGUUUGAACAUGUUGAAGAAAAAAUGUUUGCUUAUUAUCUCGUAGUGCUUGACAAAGUGUUAAUUUGUUUUACAUGUAUUUGAAAUUUUACAUUUUGUGUAGGACAUGAAUUUAUGAGUUACUUCAUACAACAAACCUAAUGAUUUCAUAGUAUUAUUAGCAAGUGUGUUACUCUUUCUAAAGCCAUUCUAGUUCAAGAAUGCCAACACAGUGAUAUUUAUAAACCUUUAUAGAACUUUUAAAACUAUUAUCUCAAAACACAAGUUACCAAAAGUAAUUGUAAAGGUUUGCAACACAAGUUACCAAAUGUAUUCGCAAAGGUUUCACAAACAGGUUACCUCGAUUUAUAAUUUACAAAGGUUUUAAUUGUAAAGGUUUGGGACACAAAUUACCAAAUGUAUUCGCAAAGGUUUCACAAACAGAUUACCUCAAUUUAUAAUUUACAACGGUUUUAUAAUUUACCAAAUGAAACUGAAAUGUAUUUGCCAGUGGAUAGAUUUGAAACAGGACAUAUACGUUUCUAUUGCGAGCUUGGUGCUAUUUUUUUUAUGUUUGCCAUGUUUUUGUUACUAAUAGAGACUUACGAGUAUGUACGUGAAUGUCUUUAUAUAAUUUGCCUGUGAUUUGGUUGGUUCAUGUAACUAAUUCAGAUUUGAUUUCUGCUAGAAAUAAAUCCAAGCAGAUUUCAGUUUUAUUCCUGGGGUUACUGUCUUCCAUAUCUUGUUUUAGUACCAAAAGUCAAUGCGCAAGAUUUUCACAAGUGUACACAGGGCCUCAGAUAAUGAUGUGCAAUGCUAUUUUACUUUCUGUAAUAAAUUAUUUUCAUAAA
Molecule: long non-coding RNA, 1244 nt
Organism: Saccostrea cuccullata (small rock oyster)
Lineage: Eukaryota; Metazoa; Mollusca; Bivalvia; Ostreida; Ostreidae
Exons: 2
Source: RefSeq, a predicted model, not a curated record